RNAcentral lists this ribosomal RNA (365 nucleotides) under uncultured bacterium. RNAcentral describes it as "bacterial SSU rRNA". It matches the Rfam family "Bacterial small subunit ribosomal RNA", at positions 28 to 372 of the family's 1533-position model. The record is from RNAcentral.
GAUGAACGCUGGCGGCGUGCUUAACACAUGCAAGUCGAGCGAAGCGGUUUCGAUGAAGUUUUCGGACGGAUUUGAAAUUGACUUAGCGGCGGACGGGUGAGUAACGCGUGGGUAACCUGCCUUACACUGGGGGAUAACAGUUAGAAAUGACUGCUAAUACCGCAUAAGCGCACAGGGCCGCAUGGCCUGGUGUGAAAAACUCCGGUGGUGUAAGAUGGACCCGCGUCUGAUUAGGUAGUUGGCGGGGUAACGGCCCACCAAGCCGACGAUCUGUAGCCGACCUGAGAGGGUGACCGGCCACAUUGGGGACUGGAGACACGGGCCCAAACUCCUACGGGAGGCAGCAGUGGGGAAUAUUGGACAAU